This 426-nucleotide ribosomal RNA is filed under the name uncultured prokaryote. RNAcentral's name for it is "bacterial SSU rRNA". It matches the Rfam family "Bacterial small subunit ribosomal RNA", at positions 355 to 796 of the family's 1533-position model. The record is from RNAcentral.
UGGGGAAUUUUCCGCAAUGGGCGAUAGCCUGACGGAGCAAUACCGCGUGAGGGAGGAAGGCUUUUGGGUUGUAAACCUCUUUUCUCAAGGAAGAAGAUCUGACGUUACUUGAGGAAUCAGCAUCGGCUAACUCCGUGCCAGCAGCCGCCGUAAUACGGAGGAUGCAAGCGUUAUCCGGAAUGAUUGGGCGUAAAGCGUCUGCAGGUGGCUAUGCAAGUGUGCUGUUAAAGAGUGGAGCUCAACUCCAUAAGGGCAGUGGAAACUGCAUAACUAGAGUACGUUCGAGGUAGAGGGAAUUCCGGGGGUAGCGGUGAAAUGCGUAGAUAUCAGGAAGAACACCGGUGGCGAAAGCGCUCUACUAGGCCGUAACUGACACUGAGAGACGAAAGCUAAGGGAGCGAAUGGGAUUAGAUACCCCGGUAGUCC